AAUAGAUACCCUGGUAGUCCAUGCCGUAAACGUUGGGCACUAGGGUGUGGGGGCCAUUCCACGGUUUCCGCGCCGCAGCUAACGCAUUAAGUGCCCCGCCUGGGGAGUACGGCCGCAAGGCUAAAAACUCAAAGGAAUUGACGGGGGGCCCGCACAAGCGGCGGAGCAUGCGGAUUAAUUCGAUGCAACGCGAAGAACCUUACCAAGGCUUGACAUGUUCUCGACCGCCACAGAGAUGUGGUUUCCCCUUUGGGGCGGGUUCACAGGUGGUGCAUGGUUGUCGUCAGCUCGUGUCGUGAGAUGUUGGGUUAAGUCCCGCAACGAGCGCAACCCUCGUUCCAUGUUGCCAGCGGGUUAUGCCGGGGACUCAUGGGGAGACUGCCGGGGUCAACUCGGAGGAAGGUGGGGACGACGUCGAAAUCAUCAUGCCCCUUAUGUCUUGGGCUUCACGCAUGCUACAAUGGCCGGUACAAUGGGUUGCGAUACUGUGAGGUGGAGCCAAUCCCAAAAAGCCGGUCGUCAGUUCGGAUUGGGGUCUGCAACUCGACCCC
Molecule: ribosomal RNA, 551 nt
Filed under: uncultured bacterium
Lineage: Bacteria
Description: bacterial SSU rRNA
Rfam family: Bacterial small subunit ribosomal RNA
Source: RNAcentral